GGGAUUGCAGCUCAGGGGUGGAGUGCUUGCCUUACAGACAUGAGGCCUUGGGUUUAAUUCCCAGUAUUGCCU
RNAcentral lists this transfer RNA (72 nucleotides) under Cavia porcellus (domestic guinea pig). It matches the Rfam family "tRNA". From Rfam's summary of the family: Transfer RNA (tRNA) molecules are approximately 80 nucleotides in length. Their secondary structure includes four short double-helical elements and three loops (D, anti-codon, and T loops). Lineage: Eukaryota; Metazoa; Chordata; Mammalia; Rodentia; Caviidae. The record is from Rfam by way of RNAcentral.